UUCUGUUUACUGUUUUCCUUUUAUUAUAUAAAUGAUGUAAGACCACAAAGUGGACACGUAAAUUCGGUUUCAGUUCGUCUAAAAGUGUGCAAAGUUAAAUUAUAAGGUUUAUAAGUGAGCCAAAUGCGUUUAGUUAGGGUUGAGGGACAUUCUUUUUAAGAGCUGAUCCCGGUUGACCUAAUUCAAACCGAAGUAAGAGCUGGUUGCGGCAAAAUGGGCUACUUAUCACUUUUAUUUCUCGUCGGUGUCAGCAGCAUUUGCCUAACUGAAGGUCAGCAGUUGGACAAUUCGAGCGAAUUAAUGUCACAGAAUAAAACCGAGCAGUUGGAGAAUUCGAGCGAAUUAAUGUCACAGAAUAAAACCGAGCCACGCACAGCUCUCUUCGCAUCACUUUCGAUGGAAAUAUUUGUAGGUUUCAAGAAAAACUUGGAGCAGAGUAAAGACGAUAUAGUCAAAUGCGAGGGAGUUCUGGAAAAUGGCUUGAAUAUAUUAAUUCAAAAACUCGAAGACUUGAUCAACUCCUGCGAAGCCAUCAUCAAUUCUUGUGUGAUCAUCUGCGGCUUGGCAGCGCUGGCCCAAAUUCCGAUGAUGCUUAUCAAAAUAGUAGAUUCCUUGAUUUGUACGGCUGGUUUGCCGCCCGUAUCACCGUGUAGGAAACAAGCUAUUAACAAUUUAAAUGAUCAACUAAAUAAAUGCAAGGUUGAUUUGACAAGACGAUAAUUAACUUAUCUUCAAAUUGAUCCGUUUUUGUGUGCGUUCAUUGUAAGGAUUGUCAAGUUUAUUAAAUCGAUUGGCAGUAAAUAUA
Molecule: long non-coding RNA, 805 nt
Organism: Drosophila montana
Lineage: Eukaryota; Metazoa; Arthropoda; Insecta; Diptera; Drosophilidae
Exons: 2
Source: RefSeq, a predicted model, not a curated record